ACGAACGCUGGCGGCGUGCUUAACACAUGCAAGUCGAACGGAAAGGCCCUGCUUGCAGGGUGCUCGAGUGGCGAACGGGUGAGUAACACGUGGGUGAUCUGCCCCUUACUUUGGGAUAAGCCUGGGAAACUGGGUCUAAUACUGGAUAGGACCAUGCUGUAGGUGGUGUGGUGGAAAGAUUAGUUUCGGUAAGGGAUGAGCUCGCGGCCUAUCAGCUUGUUGGUGGGGUAAUGGCCUACCAAGGCGCCGACGGGUAGCCGGCCUGAGAGGGUGGACGGCCACAUUGGGACUGAGAGGCGGCCCAGACUCCUGCGGGAGGCAGCAGUGGGGAAUAUUGCACAAUGGGCGCAAGCCUGAUGCAGCGACGCCGCGUGGGGGAUGACGGCCUUCGGGUUGUAAACUCCUUUCAGCCAUGACGAAGCCCUUGUGGUGACGGUAGUGGUAGAAGAAACACCGGCUAACUACGU
RNAcentral lists this ribosomal RNA (467 nucleotides) under uncultured bacterium. RNAcentral's name for it is "partial 16S ribosomal RNA". It matches the Rfam family "Bacterial small subunit ribosomal RNA", at positions 29 to 506 of the family's 1533-position model. The record is from RNAcentral.